RNAcentral lists this long non-coding RNA (218 nucleotides) under Gossypium barbadense (sea-island cotton). RNAcentral describes it as "long non-coding RNA (GBAR_LNC018618)". Lineage: Eukaryota; Viridiplantae; Streptophyta; Magnoliopsida; Malvales; Malvaceae. The record is from RNAcentral.
CGAAGUGCGGGACUACCACGACGUGGGGCGUGCGCGGCGCUGGAAGUUACUGUGACGUGGAGAGCAUGUACGGCGCAGGGCAAAUUAGGGUUCUUAGAAUCAUCUUAGGAUUAGGUUAAUUGGGUUAGGCUAGAUUUGGGCUUGAAUUAAUGAAAUUGGGCUAUUUUGGGCCGCAUGUAUUUGGUUUAUUGGGUUGUGCAAAUGAUUUUGAGCCCCGG